AGGUCAGGCUUCACUGAAGAAAAUGCCUAUAAGUAAUGAAACGCUUGUCUUUUAAUGCCUGUUGAGACUUAACUGUUAAAGAGUUAGAUGACCAGCUCAGAUGUACACAUCUAUGCUGCUGAUACACACUUGAAAAGCCCAUCUAUUAAGACAUCUAUAUACCCGAAUGACAUUUUAAUUUGGAGGUGCUGAAAUCAAGUUCACAGCACUGAAGCAGAGGCAUCCAGAAAAAGUGCUGAAGGGUCACGAGGAACAAAAAUGCCUCCAGAAGGCUGGGUGGAAACAGCCAGCCAUAAAUAGCUGGAACAAUUAUGAACUGGAGAAAAUGAAGAAA
Corapipo altera (White-ruffed manakin) is the source of this 334-nucleotide long non-coding RNA. RefSeq lists it as uncharacterized. The transcript is spliced from 3 exons. The record is from RefSeq and is a predicted model, not a curated record. Lineage: Eukaryota; Metazoa; Chordata; Aves; Passeriformes; Pipridae.